UACAGGGGGGUGCAAACGUUGCUCGGAAUCAUUGGGCGUAAAGCGCACGUAGGCGGUUCGUUAUGUCGGAUGUGAAAGCCCUUGGCUUAACCGAGGAAGUGCAUCCGAAACUGGCGAGCUAGAGUACGAAAGAGGAUCGCGGAAUUCCCGGUGUAGAGGUGAAAUUCGUAGAUAUCGGGGAGGAACACCGGUGGCGAAGGCGGCGAUCUGGGGUCGAUACUGACGCUGAGGUGCGAAAGCGUGGGGGAGCAAACAGG
RNAcentral lists this ribosomal RNA (257 nucleotides) under uncultured bacterium. RNAcentral describes it as "partial 16S ribosomal RNA". It matches the Rfam family "Bacterial small subunit ribosomal RNA", at positions 524 to 776 of the family's 1533-position model. The record is from RNAcentral.